UGGGGAAUUUUGGACAAUGGGCGAAAGCCUGAUCCAGCAAUGCCGCGUGUGUGAAGAAGGCCUUCGGGUUGUAAAGCACUUUUGUCCGGAAAGAAAUCCUUGGCUCUAAUACAGUCGGGGGAUGACGGUACCGGAAGAAUAAGCACCGGCUAACUACGUGCCAGCAGCCGCGGUAAUACGUAGGGUGCAAGCGUUAAUCGGAAUUACUGGGCGUAAAGCGUGCGCAGGCGGUUUUGCUAAGACCGAUGUGAAAUCCCCGGGCUCAACCUGGGAACUGCAUUGGUGACUGGCAGGCUAGAGUAUGGCAGAGGGGGGUAGAAUUCCACGUGUAGCAGUGAAAUGCGUAGAGAUGUGGAGGAAUACCGAUGGCGAAGGCAGCCCCCUGGGCCAAUACUGACGCUCAUGCACGAAAGCGUGGGGAGCAAACAGGAUUAGAUACCCUGGUAGUCCACGCCCUAAACGAUGUCAACUAGUUGUUGGGGAUUCAUUUCCUUAGUAACGUAGCUAACGCGUGAAGUUGACCGCCUGGGGAGUACGGUCG
Molecule: ribosomal RNA, 541 nt
Filed under: uncultured bacterium
Lineage: Bacteria
Description: partial 16S ribosomal RNA
Rfam family: Bacterial small subunit ribosomal RNA
Source: RNAcentral